Molecule: ribosomal RNA, 501 nt
Filed under: Triticum aestivum (bread wheat)
Lineage: Eukaryota; Viridiplantae; Streptophyta; Magnoliopsida; Poales; Poaceae
Description: partial small subunit ribosomal RNA
Source: RNAcentral
AUGGAUAGCACACUUGGAAGAAACAGCAGCAAGCAAACAUGGCGAACUCCGGAACACGUCGACGUACGAAUGGACGGUCACAUCGACAUAUGCACAAGCCGAGGAACGGUAGCAGCUGAUGAUGCAAAGACUGGAGCCACUGAACAGGACAAAGGUGUGGGAUCGAGCAACCAUAGCGCAUUUGCUGGAGGCGGCCUUCUUCUUCGCACAUAUCUACACUUCAGUCCGGCCGGAGCGACGGCCGGCUUAGUUGCUCCUGUAGGACCCGAGCUUGGCGGCGCUGGCCCUCAGCACGUACUGGUGGUAGGCGGCGGCGAUGGCGGCGCCGAUCAGCGGCCCCACCCAGAAGAUCCACUGCACGAACACAAACAGCAGUCAGCACGUGGCAGGCAGAUCAGCGGCAGCGGCGCCGCUUCAUUGGAAGUUUAUGUGAUGUACGUACAGGACAGACGAAGCAAUCUUUAUUGCUUAUCUUAUAACGAUUUGAUUCGCCAUGGUUAG